GCCAGCAUGGCAUAGUGGUUUGAGGGUUGGACUACGAUUCUGGAGACUAGGGUUCAAUUCCCAGCUCGGCCA
Phrynosoma platyrhinos (Desert horned lizard) is the source of this 72-nucleotide non-coding RNA. The record is from the annotation of a GenBank genome assembly. NCBI's taxonomy places the organism in Eukaryota, Metazoa, Chordata, Lepidosauria, Squamata, Phrynosomatidae.